AGGGUAACGGCCCCUUGAAAAACUCAUAAAUAACGGUCGUAACGUAACGGCUGUUAUUUAAAAACCAUGUGCCAAUGUCACUACUCCCUGCACCCUGCCCAAUGACUUGUGCUACUUAAAUUUCUAGUCCACUGGAAUCUUGUGCUUGCUGUCUCCUGUGCCACUUUCUGCCUGAGGCACAUUUCUUGAAUGUUCAACAGAAUUUGUUAUAGCUACAAAUAUUUUGGUGAAUAAUAUCUCAAUGUAAUUACUUCUGCAUGGAUUUUAUUGAUUGAAAUUUGCUUGUUGGUGCAGCUUGGUUAUUGGUAGGACCUGU
Molecule: unclassified non-coding RNA, 316 nt
Filed under: Hevea brasiliensis (rubber tree)
Lineage: Eukaryota; Viridiplantae; Streptophyta; Magnoliopsida; Malpighiales; Euphorbiaceae
Source: RNAcentral